AGGAGAGUGGAAUUCCCCGUGUAGCGGUGAAAUGCGUAGAGAUGUGGAGGAACACCAGUGGCGGAAGGGCGACUCUCUGGUCUGUAACUGACGCUGAGGAGCGAAAAGCGUGGGGAGCGAACAGGAUUAGAUACCCUGGUAGUCCACGCCGUAAACGAUGAGUGCUAAGUGUUAGGGGGUUUCCGCCCCUUAGUGCUGCAGCUAACGCAUUAAGCACUCCGCCUGGGGAGUACGGUCGCAAGACUGAAACUCAAAGGAAUUGACGGGGGCCCGCACAAGCGGUGGAGCAUGUGGUUUAAUUCGAAGCAACGCGAAGAACCUUACCAGGUCUUGACAUCCUCUGACAACCCUAGAGAUAGGGCUUUCCCUUCGGGGACAGAGUGACAGGUGGUGCAUGGUUGUCGUCAGCUCGUGUCGUGAGAUGUUGGGUUAAGUCCCGCAACGAGCGCAACCCUUGAUCUUAGUUGCCAGCAUUCAGUUGGGCACUCUAAGGUGACUGCCGGUGACAAACCGGAGGAAGGUGGGGAUGACGUCAAAUCAUCAUGCCCCUUAUGACCUGGGCUACACACGUGCUACAAUGGACAGAACAAAGGGCUGCAAGACCGCAAGGUUUAGCCAAUCCCAUAAAUCUGUUCUCAGUUCGGAUCGCAGUCUGCAACUCGACUGCGUGAAGCUGGCAUCGCUAGUAAUCAGCCGUUCUUGC
This 703-nucleotide ribosomal RNA is filed under the name Bacillus sp. (in: firmicutes). RNAcentral describes it as "bacterial SSU rRNA". It matches the Rfam family "Bacterial small subunit ribosomal RNA", at positions 655 to 1355 of the family's 1533-position model. The record is from RNAcentral. Lineage: Bacteria; Bacillati; Bacillota; Bacilli; Caryophanales; Bacillaceae.